Molecule: long non-coding RNA, 1421 nt
Organism: Exaiptasia diaphana
Lineage: Eukaryota; Metazoa; Cnidaria; Anthozoa; Actiniaria; Aiptasiidae
Exons: 2
Source: RefSeq, a predicted model, not a curated record
AUAUGAUCUGUAUGACGUCACUGCUUUAUUUGGAAAACGAAUUUGAAGGUACCAGCAAAGAACGAGUGAAGUCUGUCUAUUAAACGGCUGGUGUUCUGUUGGCACCAUGACGAAACGAUUUCUGUUGAUAAUGUUUUUGGUAGUUAUUUAUGCUUCAAUCACUGUUUCAAGAAAAGGUCGACAUGAUGAAGGAAAUAACAAUCAAGAUGUCUCAGAGGCACAAGCUGUACAAAACGGACAAAGCGAGAAAAAGUUUAAAUCAAAAACAGAAGAAACAAAAUGGAAAAUGAAUGUGGCAAGAAAAAAGUUGCUAAUCGCUAAGGAUUAUCUCAAGCUAGCAAUGAAAGCCACUAAAAAACACAAGACAGUCAAAAAUACUCCACAAAAUCAAAAUGAAAUCAGGGACAUUAUCCGAAAAGCUGAAAAACAAAUAUUGCACUCUGGAGAGAAGAUGGGAUUAUCUUAUAUGCAUUAUAAACGGAGUUAUGAGGACUGAUAUUAGUCAUUUUUAAACUGUCUGUAGUGUGUCUGCCCGUGAUUUGCGUCACUAGUGCAAACACAUCAAGCUUGCAUUUUGCUAUUAUAAGUGAUAUUCGGGAUAAUGGGGUACGUUAGUACAGUCUAUAAUAAAAAGGAAUUUGCUUUUGCAAAAAGUACAGUGUAUCCACACCGAUAUACUUCAACAACGGCUCCUCUGGCAUUGAUUUUCAUUUGCACUUUGAGGAAAGAGAGGACAAUACUUGAAUACAUCAAGGAUAUACGUCAGCCACAGACGAAGCUCCACUUUGAUCGGGGAGGUUGGUUUCGUUGCCUCUUUUAGUUUUAUUAAUGAUAGCGGACUACUAAAAACAAAUUGUGCGGAAGCAAUACUAAUUGAUCAAACAUUACGAACCUUUUUCCUUUUGCUGUAUACGAUUUUGAUUGUGGACACAUAACAAGAAAACUUUUCAACUAGAGUGGUUUUCAUAAACCCGUGAAACAAAGUGUAAGUAAUUAGUGUAGAGUAAUAGAUCGUAAUAGUAGCGUAGAGACAAUAAAAAACAAAAGAGCCGAAGUGUAAUAUAGUGAUAAAUACGCUAAAGUGUGUUUCACGGGUUAAUGAAAACUACUCUAUGAAUCCUUGUAUAACUUUGCAAAAAUGCAAGUCUUAAAUAUAGUGAAUAACUAUUAAUUAUGGUUUAAUACACUGAUGCGACUCACUCCCCCUUCCGUAAAACAGACAGAAAUUAAUAGCGUUUUCUAGAAACAAUCUUCACAUCCGCGGUUGGAAAGMAGCUAUCCUAUACAAGAGAACAACAGCACGGUUUUCCCAUGAAGUCUCAUUCACAGCUAGAGAACCUAUUAACAUUGCAAAGAAUAUGUUGUUCCUAAUGUUUUGUAACUGAUAACAGCAAUAAUAUAGUAAAAAGCUUGCAAAAAUC